UGUGUACUGCACCCAAUUUAGUACGGUCCAGUCCCCCCCUUCUGUAUUUGCAGUUGGAGCGGCCCGCCUCCUGUUUGAUGCACUGCACCUUCACAGCUGGGAACACAUGCUGCAAACAUUUAGGAUCAAUAAGCAGCGUCUGAUUGAUUUAAAGUGACGGCGUCUUCAUUUCAGGACAAAGUGAGACGCCUUCCAUCGUCCGACUGGCCAUUUUUGAAAAAGCCUCUCAGUGUUCCCCUGAUUUGAUUCAAGCACCACUGGGUGAAGCAAAUUUCAUCAAACUUGUUUCCUGAAUAAAAAAAAUGAAGCCGUUUUUUUUUUUUUGUAGCUGACGGAGGCUCAGACUGAGCGAUUGACAGAAAUGUGACAAACAGCAACAGAAGCAGCGCUGAUUUGAUGCCACAUGGCUGAUAUAGGGGAGCUUUGUAAAGAGAAAAGAGUUUAAAGUUUGUAGUACGACACGAAAACUAUAACAUGUUCUUUCUGCCCUGCAUGACUAAAUAUUCCACUCAUGAAACACAAACAGGAUUCAGUGCCUAAUCCUCUUGUGUUCUUUGUUUAUUGUGCAAAAUAAACAUGAUGACUAAAGAGCAUAUCCUCUUGAGAGGUGGGGUCCAUCUCGAGAGAUCCGAACACUGAAGAGGCCUAUCAAAUGUCAUCCUAUUCCUACAUUUCUGUUUAGAUAUCAGCCGUCAAACAGAACAUAAAUUCAGCUGAAAAGGUCCUCAUUCUGUUUAAAGUAUUUCCUGUCUCACUACCUUUUAUGUU
Eleginops maclovinus (Patagonian blennie) is the source of this 768-nucleotide long non-coding RNA. RefSeq lists it as uncharacterized. The record is from RefSeq and is a predicted model, not a curated record. Lineage: Eukaryota; Metazoa; Chordata; Actinopteri; Perciformes; Eleginopidae. The transcript is spliced from 3 exons.